CAUUAUGAUGAAUAAGAGCAUUGCUCGAAAUAACCCAGCUCGUCGAAUGCCUCAUUUUUUAAAACUCACGUAGAGGUCAUCAUGAGAGCAAAAUUCCUAUCUGAAAUU
This 108-nucleotide small nucleolar RNA is filed under the name Aspergillus ustus. Its description in RNAcentral is "A. fumigatus snoRNA Afu_304". It matches the Rfam family "A. fumigatus snoRNA Afu_304". Lineage: Eukaryota; Fungi; Ascomycota; Eurotiomycetes; Eurotiales; Aspergillaceae. The record is from Rfam by way of RNAcentral.